UUCAGCCAUCUUGGAUUUUGUAUGUAAACAAUCUGCAAUAUUUUGCAAUAUCUUUUUUUCGCUCUUUGUGUGUGGAAUUGUUUUGGUGGGAAUAAGGGCAUUGAAAAGUUGAAAGCUCAAGAGAAUAAAUCGACUUUCGGUGUCGGUCGGUGAUGGAGGUAUUUUUCCCGCGUUUUGCAGCUAGAGACGUCGGUUAAUUAUUCGAUUGAUUUCUAGGAACUUCCUGCGACUUGUUCUUGACUUGUUCAGCUCAUAUAUUAUAGAAAAAAAAACCCGAAGCUGUAACGGUAAAAAUAACCAUAAGCCACCGAUUAAUUUAUAAUCUACAGUUUACAAUUCUUCCGCAAGUGCAAUUAUUUCACAAGUGUGUAUAUGCGUGACCAUUAUAUUUAGUGAACAACUAAACGAAUGUCAAACAUUUGUACUUUACUUUUGCACGUAUGA
Molecule: long non-coding RNA, 444 nt
Organism: Toxorhynchites rutilus septentrionalis
Lineage: Eukaryota; Metazoa; Arthropoda; Insecta; Diptera; Culicidae
Exons: 3
Source: RefSeq, a predicted model, not a curated record